CUCAGAGUGAACGCUGGCGGUAGGCCUAACACAUGCAAGUCGAACGGCAGCACAGGAGAGCUUGCUCUCUGGGUGGCGAGUGGCGGACGGGUGAGGAAUACAUCGGAAUCUACUUUUUCGUGGGGGAUAACGUAGGGAAACUUACGCUAAUACCGCAUACGACCUACGGGUGAAAGCAGGGGAUCUUCGGACCUUGCGCGAUUGAAUGAGCCGAUGUCGGAUUAGCUAGUUGGCGGGGUAAAGGCCCACCAAGGCGACGAUCCGUAGCUGGUCUGAGAGGAUGAUCAGCCACACUGGAACUGAGACACGGUCCAGACUCCUACGGGAGGCAGCAGUGGGGAAUAUUGGACAAUGGGCGCAAGCCUGAUCCAGCCAUACCGCGUGGGUGAAGAAGGCCUUCGGGUUGUAAAGCCCUUUUGUUGGGAAAGAAAUCCAGCUGGCUAAUACCCGGUUGGGAUGACGUACCCAAAGAAAAGCCCGGCA
This 483-nucleotide ribosomal RNA is filed under the name Stenotrophomonas maltophilia. Its description in RNAcentral is "bacterial SSU rRNA". It matches the Rfam family "Bacterial small subunit ribosomal RNA", at positions 23 to 498 of the family's 1533-position model. Lineage: Bacteria; Pseudomonadati; Pseudomonadota; Gammaproteobacteria; Lysobacterales; Lysobacteraceae. The record is from RNAcentral.